This 484-nucleotide ribosomal RNA is filed under the name uncultured bacterium. Its description in RNAcentral is "bacterial SSU rRNA". It matches the Rfam family "Bacterial small subunit ribosomal RNA", at positions 15 to 518 of the family's 1533-position model. The record is from RNAcentral.
GAUUAUGGCUCAGGACGAACGCUGGCGGCGUGCUUCAUACAUGCAAGUCGAACGAUAAGGUCUCUUCGGAGAUACAUAAGUGGCGGACGGGUGAGUAAAAUGUAGAGAAUCUGCCCUAGAGAUGGGGACAACAGUUGGAAACGACUGCUAAUACCCAAUAUGAGCGUAGUUGAGAUACUAUUCUUGAAAACUCCGGUGCUCUGGGAUGAGUCUGCAUCUGAUUAGCUAGUUGGCGGUGUAAUGGACCACCAAGGCGACGAUCAGUAGCUGGUUUGAGAGGAUGAUCAGCCACAAUGGGACUGAGACACGGCCCAUACUCCUACGGGAGGCAGCAGUAGGGAAUUUUGCGCAAUGGGGGAAACCCUGACGCAAGCAACGCCGCGUGAAUGAAGAAGCCCUUCGGGGCGUAAAGUUCUGUCAGUAGGGAAGAACAAAUGACUGUACCUACAGAGGAAGCAUCGGCUAACUCCGUGCCAGCCGCCGC